Long non-coding RNA from Triticum aestivum (bread wheat), 1926 nucleotides. RefSeq lists it as uncharacterized. The record is from RefSeq and is a predicted model, not a curated record. The transcript is spliced from 4 exons. NCBI's taxonomy places the organism in Eukaryota, Viridiplantae, Streptophyta, Magnoliopsida, Poales, Poaceae.
GGUCACCUUUUGUUAGUGGGCAUAUUAUUCUGCAUUGGUCUGAAGUCGUGUUGUCAUUUUAGUGGUGUUGCAAUCACCACAUACCACGUUUCGAACUCAAGGCACAUUCCUAUCUACUCCCCCUGUCCGAAAAUACUUGUCGGAGAAAUGGAUGUAUCUAGAUGUAUUUUAGUUCUGGAUACAUCCAUUUUUAUGCAUUUCUCCGACAAGUAUUUUCGGACGGAGGGAGUAUUCUGCCAUGACACUUGAAGAAGACCUGUCAUGACCUGAGACUCUCUCCAAGAUCUUCCUUAAAGAGUUAAGACCAAGAACAGGUUACCUUCGUUGACUCGCAGUCACUAGUUAAACAUCGGCAAGUACCGAUGGCGGCCUUCUUACCGAUUUACCAACAUCUCGAUCUACAAUUCGAAGGAGGAAGAUGAAUUGGGGAAUUUCUCACACCACACACGCCAGCACACAAGCCGUGCCCCGGCUUCCAGCCAUCCUUUUCCACCCCCUCACACACACACGCACUCUGGCUUAAGUAGUGGACGCGGUGACUUGAGCCCAUUCAGGCCCAGCAAGCCUAGCGGGCCGCUGAGGCUUGCGACGGGGCCUGGAUGAGGUGGCUGCUUGCUCUUCCUGCGCUUCUGGGUCCUCAGGGGGUGCUUGGUCGCUGACAAUCCCCCUUCCCUUAGACACGGCUUGCCCCCAAGCCGGUGCACGGGGAAACAUCUGCUUGAGCGUUUCCUUGCCCUCCCAUGUGGCUAGCUCAGUUGAAGAAUCACUCCACUUGAUCAAAACUUGAACCACAAUGUCAUUGCCACGGCGCACCAGUCUCUGUUGCAGUACCUGCUCCGGUACCUGCAGGUGAUCAUCAGGAGAGGGAAGUCGAGGUAGAACCUGAGUAUCUGGUGCCAGGACUCUCUUGAGCAGAGAAACGUGAAAUACAGGGUGAACACGGCUGGACGCAGGCAGAUCCAAUUCAUAUGCAACCUCUCCCACACGAGCCACAACCUGAAAUGGCCCAUAAAACUUGAAAGCUAGUUUGUGAUUUGCUCGCGGGGCCACUGAUGAUUGAAGGUAAGGCUGCAGCUUCAGAAAAACUGAAUCUCCAACAACAAAUGUACGUUCGGUCCUGUGCUUAUCUGCUUGCGCCUUCAUACGCUGUUGAGCUCGCAGCAAAUGUUGACGCACUGAAUCCAAAAUUACUUGGCGCUGGGAUAGCCAUAGUUGCAGGUCUGCUGACUGAAUAGCAUCAUCUGUAUUCAGACCGAAAUGACGAGGUGGGUGUCCAUAGAUAAUUUCAAAUGGAGUGGAACCCGUGGCUGAAUGCCAGUUCGUGUUGUACCAGAACUCACAAAGUGGUAUCCAUUGAGCCCAACGUGAGGGGUGAGCGCUGACAAAACAUCGUAAGAAACACUCGACUUGUUGAUUUACGCGUUCAGUCUGACCGUCCAACUGGGGGUGGCGAGCAGAACUGAGGUGAAGCAUUGUUCCUGUUUUAUGAAAGAGCUCCUUCCAAAACAGACUUGUGAAGAUGCGGUCACGAUCAGAGACAAUGGAUAGAGGCAUACCAUGUAACUUGUAUAUUGAAUUUAGGAACGCUUCAUCCACUGUAGCAGCAGUGAAAGGAUGAUGUAGAGGGACAAAAUGGCCAUACUUUGAAAGCUUGUCAAUGAUCACCAUUAAGCAAUUGUACCUGCCUGAAGUGGGCAAUCCCUCCACGAAAUCCAUUGUAACCAUUUCCCAGGGCACUUUAGGUAUAGGAAGAGGUUGUAGCAAUCCAGGAUAAGGGGUACGAUCCAGCUUAGCUUGCUGACAAGUAAGGCAGUGCUGCACAAACUGCUUGAUGAAUCCACUCAUGCCAGCCCAGCGAAACAGUUGCCGAACUCGACGGUAAGUCACUGGAAACCCUGAAUGACCCCCAACCGGACUAUCAUGGAA